Molecule: long non-coding RNA, 464 nt
Filed under: Medicago truncatula (barrel medic)
Lineage: Eukaryota; Viridiplantae; Streptophyta; Magnoliopsida; Fabales; Fabaceae
Description: long non-coding RNA (MTRU_LNC007589)
Source: RNAcentral
GUGUCAAAAUUAUCAUUGAUUGUAACAGAUGGAUAUCAGUUCACCUCUCAGUCAUGAUCAUCAAUAGAGAUUCACUAAUGUGCCUGAAUGUACUCCUUCCACAAAAAUCGCGUGGAGAAAUAGACAAGAAGUAAAAAUGGGAAUGUAAAUAAAUAGUGGUGACAGAUUUGAUAAAACAUGGUUAUAUCAAACUCAAUUUUGGUUAGUUUUCACAAAAGCCUGUCAAAUAUGAAAAAUAGUUCACCUCUUCCCAUUUUAACAUGGUAAUUUUAGUUGUUACAAUGUGAACAUCUAUUCAGCAUUCAACAUAUUCACCCUAUGCCAAAAUAAAAUUAUCAACAAAAUAUAAACAUUGUCGUUGUUUCACGUCUAUUACAACAAUUGAUUUACACCCAGUACUUCAAAUAAAUCCAAGAAUUGAUGCUAUUACAUAUUUUCUACAGUGUUAUGUCACGGCUAACUCC